Molecule: long non-coding RNA, 683 nt
Filed under: Oreochromis niloticus (Nile tilapia)
Lineage: Eukaryota; Metazoa; Chordata; Actinopteri; Cichliformes; Cichlidae
Description: lncRNA (ENSONIG00000033849.1)
Source: RNAcentral
UCUAGAAAAUUAUUAGCGAAACGCUACAUACUGUGUGGGUGUUAUAUCAGAGUUUUGCAUCUGAUCUUUGACCUGUGAGCUUCAGACUCUUUGAUGUUGCGAAGGGUUUAUUGUGACAGCAGCCUGCAGACACAGAGGACUGUUGACGGAGAAGAAGCAGAGGAUUUUCUCUGUUUCUACACAGACCUGGUCCAGACAGCAGAGAGCUGCAGAGUGAAGACGUUCAUGGGAAGAAGCUGAGUGAAGGUAGAAAGUGUGUGAGAGCUGAAUUGAGCAGCAUGGAUCAGUGUGAGGACAGAGAGGAGGGAGUCCCUCCCUCUAAAAGCACUCUGUGUGGGGAACAUGAGAGCCAGACCAAAGCUCAGAGGAACCAACCUGGGCCUGAACUGUGGCAGGAGUCUAAAGAAGACCUCUUUGAUUUAAAAGUCGAGCCUGUGUCUGCUGCAGAGAGGAUCCAUGGGAGACCUGCUGGACCUGAACCUGGACGCAACUGUAUGUCUGUCAUGUCCCCCAGAUUACCUUACGUCUUUAGAAGAAAUGCGGUCUCUGAACUAAGGAGGUGAGCUGUUAGUAACAUGAACUCUUUGAUUUAACUGUUUAAUGUUGUUGGAUAUAAACUGCAGUGCAAACAUGCCAUUUUCUUUAAUCCCAUUUUAACUGUCUCUUAAAAACAAGCCUUUGGU